RNAcentral lists this ribosomal RNA (253 nucleotides) under uncultured bacterium. Its description in RNAcentral is "partial 16S ribosomal RNA". It matches the Rfam family "Bacterial small subunit ribosomal RNA", at positions 524 to 776 of the family's 1533-position model. The record is from RNAcentral.
UACGGAGGGGGCUAGCGUUGUUCGGAAUUACUGGGCGUAAAGCGCACGUAGGCGGCCUUGUAAGAUGGGGGUGAAAUCCCCGGGCUCAACCCGGGAACUGCCUUCAUGACUGCAAAGCUAGAGGAUGCGAGAGGUUAGCGGAAUUCCGAGUGUAGAGGUGAGAUUCGUAGAUAUUCGGAAGAACACCAGUGGCGAAGGCGGCUAACUGGCGCAUUUCUGACGCUGAGGUGCGAAAGCGUGGGGAGCAAACAGG